Molecule: long non-coding RNA, 581 nt
Filed under: Mus musculus (house mouse)
Lineage: Eukaryota; Metazoa; Chordata; Mammalia; Rodentia; Muridae
Description: predicted gene 42953
Source: RNAcentral
UGCCUCUCUAUGCUUCAAGCUCCUGUCUUGGGUUCCUGCCUUGGCUUCCCUCAACGAAGGACUGUAACUUUGUCACCUUGGCAAGAUUUGAACCAGCUUGCUGCCUGUGCCCUGGAAUACUUGCCACCUGACCCUACCUGCCCUUGGAGGUUGGAGGUGAGGUGGCCUGGCAUCAAUGACACAGACUUGGGGAGCAGCUCAGUGGGAGCUGGGGUACUAUUGCCUCAACAUUGCUGACCCCACCUCGGAGCACUCCCAUACUGGACUGUGCUGUUCCUCCUACACCAGGAGACACAGUCAUUGCCACCUUCCUGAGAGAGCUGCAUCCACCAUGGUGCCAGAGAGGUGGGAGAGUAACCGCCAAACAGACACUCCUGAGUUUCAAUCCCAGAAGUGUGGCUGGGAAUCCGGAGAUCUUCAAGAAGUUAUUUAACUUUUUUAAACCUUAAAUUGUGUAUGUGCAUGACAGUGCCCACAGGGGCCAGAUGAGGGCGUCAGAUGCCCUUGAACUGGAAUCACAGAUGUUUGUUAGCUGCUCAGCAUGAGUGCUGGAAACCAAAUUCUGGUCCCGUGCAAGAGUA